Molecule: ribosomal RNA, 522 nt
Filed under: Triticum aestivum (bread wheat)
Lineage: Eukaryota; Viridiplantae; Streptophyta; Magnoliopsida; Poales; Poaceae
Description: partial small subunit ribosomal RNA
Source: RNAcentral
AUGAAGAACAAGGAUAAGCUCAGUAAGCUGACAUCAGCUGGUCGUGUGGCCGGCAAAGGCUUGUCGACAAAAUGGUCGUCAUACUAUAACACUGGUGGGCGAAAGGAGAAAAAGACCAGCUCGGAAAGCCAGGCGCGCGAGGUUCAAGAACUCAGGGCACAGGUGGCGCGGAUUCCGGAGAUUGUCCAAGAGCAAGUGCAACAACAACUCGGAGCGACGAUCACCGCUAUUGUGCCUACCUUGAUCCAGGGGAUUAGUGCGUGGAUUGUGGGCGGCCAACAGGGGCCGCCCCCGAUUCCUAGCUUCACGGCCAGCAACUCGCAGAACGCGAUGGCUGGGCCAUUGGUGUCUCCGGUGGAGGCGGCAUUGGUGUCUCCGACGCCGGCACGGGAGCUUAAUGCACCCGGGUGUACGCCGGCCGGCACCUCUGCAGCAAGCGGCCCCUCCGUCAAUUGCACGCCCGCCGUUGGCGGUGCCUCGACAUUAGCCGAGCUCGACGCCAUCAUCAUGGUAACUAAUUAA